RNAcentral lists this ribosomal RNA (465 nucleotides) under uncultured Klebsiella sp. RNAcentral describes it as "bacterial SSU rRNA". It matches the Rfam family "Bacterial small subunit ribosomal RNA", at positions 338 to 795 of the family's 1533-position model. The record is from RNAcentral. Lineage: Bacteria; Pseudomonadati; Pseudomonadota; Gammaproteobacteria; Enterobacterales; Enterobacteriaceae.
CCUACGGGUGGCAGCAGUGGGGAAUAUUGCACAAUGGGCGCAAGCCUGAUGCAGCCAUGCCGCGUGUGUGAAGAAGGCCUUCGGGUUGUAGAGCACUUUCAGCGGGGAGGAAGGCGUUAAGGUUAAUAACCUUGGCGAUUGACGUUACCCGCAGAAGAAGCACCGGCUAACUCCGUGCCAGCAGCCGCGGUAAUACGGAGGGUGCAAGCGUUAAUCGGAAUUACUGGGCGUAAAGCGCACGCAGGCGGUCUGUCAAGUCGGAUGUGAAAUCCCCGGGCUCAACCUGGGAACUGCAUUCGAAACUGGCAGGCUAGAGUCUUGUAGAGGGGGGUAGAAUUCCAGGUGUGGCGGUGAAAUGCGUAGAGAUCUGGAGGAAUACCGGUGGCGAAGGCGGCCCCCUGGACAAAGACUGACGCUCAAGUGCGAAAGCGUGGGGAGCAAACAGGAUUAGAUACCCGUGUAGUC